This is a non-coding RNA of Pelobates cultripes (western spadefoot toad), 492 nucleotides long. The record is from the annotation of a GenBank genome assembly. Lineage: Eukaryota; Metazoa; Chordata; Amphibia; Anura; Pelobatidae.
GUGCUUAGAUAUGACUAUUAAGGCUUGCCUUGCCACAACAGCUAGGGCAAACAUUUAAAGACAUGGAAAGAUAGUUGUAUGGCACGUGAUAAUACUGCACAUUAUUAUGUGCAGUAAAACAUUGUAGGACAAGAGAAAUAAGCUAAGCCUACAGUUGCUAAAUUCAGGGCCGUCUUUAGUAAUGAUUGGACCCUGGGCAAGCAUUUGCUAGGGCCCCCAUAGACUGUGCCCCCCCACUCCCUUACAUGCAAUCACACCCUCCACCCCAACGCACUAGCGGAACUAAAGUAUAAAGAUCCCUGGUGCAAGAAUUUUAUUUGGCCCUCAAUUGCAAGGUUGGACAAAAAGGUAGAACCUUAUCUGUCGUGCAACUCCAACAAUGCAUUGACGGGUGAGGUUCUACCAAUUUUCCAUGCUUGCAUGGUUGUAUUUUGCACUGUUUGAAUGUAAGCAUGUUUUUGUAUGAAGUACGUCUGUCUCAAUGUGUUUGUA